Molecule: ribosomal RNA, 395 nt
Filed under: uncultured bacterium
Lineage: Bacteria
Description: bacterial SSU rRNA
Rfam family: Bacterial small subunit ribosomal RNA
Source: RNAcentral
AUUGAACGCUGGCGGCAUGCCUUACACAUGCAAGUCGAACGGCAGCACGGGAGCAAUCCUGGUGGCGAGUGGCGAACGGGUGAGUAAUAUAUCGGAACGUGCCCAGUGAUGGGGGAUAGCCCGGCGAAAGCCGGAUUAAUACCGCAUACGACCUACGGGUGAAAGCAGGGGAUCGCAAGACCUUGCGUCAUUGGAGCGGCCGAUAUCAGAUUAGCUGUUGGUGGGGUAAAAGCCUACCAAGGCGACGAUCUGUAGCUGGUCUGAGAGGACGACCAGCCACACUGGGACUGAGACACGGCCCAGACUCCUACGGGAGGCAGCAGUGGGGAAUUUUGGACAAUGGGCGCAAGCCUGAUCCAGCCAUGCCGCGUGCGGGAAGAAGGCCUGGUGUAACG